Molecule: long non-coding RNA, 981 nt
Organism: Vicia villosa (hairy vetch)
Lineage: Eukaryota; Viridiplantae; Streptophyta; Magnoliopsida; Fabales; Fabaceae
Exons: 3
Source: RefSeq, a predicted model, not a curated record
UCUUCAAAUCCCCAAACCGGUCUCUCUUCUAUUUGUGCCGUCUUCUCACCUAAACCCUAAAUUCCACUUCUCACCCAAAAUCGUAAAUUCCAAAUGGCUUCUUCGUCACAUACAACAAGGAAAACUAAAGUCAACCGAAGGCUCAAUUCUCUUUGUCUCUAUCUCUGUUUUCAUCUCCCAUAUAUUGUAAGAAAGAGGAAAAGCAAAGUGUCUUUGUCUCUUGCCAUCUAAGAUCCAUAAGGGUUUCUACACUAUAGUGGUCUGUCUAUUGAGGGUUAGAUUCCUCCAUCUUCAAUCAAAGGCAGCUGAACUUCUUCUUGGGGCAAGACGGAACUAAACAACUAUUGAUAUGUGGUCUCUUGGUUGUGUAAUGACCUAACUAUUUGACCAGCUUCCACUUAGGGUGGUGGUGGAUUGCCUAUCUGGUCUCCCUUAGUGACUUAUCUAGUUACACAACUUUCUUAAUUUUUAUUAACAAUCAAAAUGUUUCUUUCAGGUAUAAUAUGUUAUCUGAAAAAUUUUCUGGUAUAAUCUUCGCCUGAGCUUCAUGAAAUAAUUUGCUAAUAAUUCUUAAUUUAAGUAUUAAGAAUAACAAAUCUAAUUAGAGCAUAAUUAUAUAAUGUAUAAGUUAUCAGUAAGUUUAGUUUUUUAAGAUUUUGUGUAAUAUUUUUUAGUUUUGUAACAUGUUAUUUUGUCUUGUUUAUUUGUCUUGGAACUAAUCUCAUUCAUAUGAUUUUUAAGAAUGGGGAAGGAGGAGUCAAUUGAUGUAGAAGGAAAGUAUAAUGGUGUGUUCUUCCUCCUACGCCUCCCAAACAACAACUUAUGGAAAGGGACAAUUUCUGGUUAUUCUAUUGUUGGGACAAUUGAAAUUAAACCUAGUAUUUUGUACCCAAAUUAAAUAGAGAACUAAAGCACCGAUGUUAUAUGUAUAUGGGAAUACAAAAAACCUUCGGCAAAAAGAAUUUGUUAGAAUUUAAUGAA